GACUGGCUGGACAAUGGCCCAGAACAAGCUAUUCAACAAGAUCCUCAAAGCCCUGCAGUCUGACCGGCUUGCCCGCUUGGCCAACGAAGGGGCUUGUAAUGAGCCAGUGCUGCGCCGUGUUGCUGUGGACAAGUGUGCAAGGAGAGUGCGGCAGGCUCUGGCAAGUGUGAGCUGGGAUACCAAGCUGAUCCAGUGGCUGCACACCACCCUUGUGGAGACCUUGAGUCUGCCCAUGCUGGCAGCCUACCUGGAUGCUUUGCAGACGCUGAAGGGGAAGGUCAUUUUGACCUUUUGUGGGUAGCAUGGAAUUCGCAGAUAUUUCUUCUCAGUUCUCCCUCUGUUUCCCAGGCUGGAGUGCGGUGGCACACUCUUGGCUCACUGCAACCUCUGCCUCCUGGGUUCAAGUGAUUCUCGUGUCUCAGCCUCCUGAGUAGCUGGGACUACAGAUCCCAACCUUGAUUGACCGGAUGCUUGUGUCAUCCAACACAAAGACUGGGGCUGCAGGAGCUGAGGCCUUGUCUCUCCUACUGAAGAGGCCCU
Molecule: small RNA, 540 nt
Filed under: Pan troglodytes (chimpanzee)
Lineage: Eukaryota; Metazoa; Chordata; Mammalia; Primates; Hominidae
Description: processed transcript
Source: RNAcentral